This 473-nucleotide ribosomal RNA is filed under the name uncultured Actinomycetes bacterium. Its description in RNAcentral is "bacterial SSU rRNA". It matches the Rfam family "Bacterial small subunit ribosomal RNA", at positions 38 to 528 of the family's 1533-position model. Lineage: Bacteria; Bacillati; Actinomycetota; Actinomycetes. The record is from RNAcentral.
GGCGGCGUGCUUAACACAUGCAAGUCGAACGGUAAGGCCUUUCGGGGUACACGAGUGGCGAACGGGUGAGUAACACGUGGGUGAUCUGCCCUGCACUUUGGGAUAAGCCUGGGAAACUGGGUCUAAUACCGAAUAUGACCAUUGGUUGCAUGACUGGUGGUGGAAAGCUUUUGCGGUGUGGGAUGGGCCCGCGGCCUAUCAGCUUGUUGGUGGGGUGAUGGCCUACCAAGGCGACGACGGGUAGCCGGCCUGAGAGGGUGUCCGGCCACACUGGGACUGAGAUACGGCCCAGACUCCUACGGGAGGCAGCAGUGGGGAAUAUUGCACAAUGGGCGCAAGCCUGAUGCAGCGACGCCGCGUGAGGGACGACGGCCUUCGGGUUGUAAACCUCUUUCAGCACAGACGAAGCGCAAGUGACGGUAUGUGCAGAAGAAGCACCGGCCAACUACGUGCCAGCAGCCGCGGUAAUACGU